RNAcentral lists this transfer RNA (72 nucleotides) under Salsuginibacillus halophilus. It matches the Rfam family "tRNA". Rfam says of the family: Transfer RNA (tRNA) molecules are approximately 80 nucleotides in length. The record is from Rfam by way of RNAcentral. Lineage: Bacteria; Bacillati; Bacillota; Bacilli; Caryophanales; Bacillaceae.
UGGGCUAUAGCCAAGCGGUAAGGCAAUGGGUUUUGGUCUCAUGAUGCGCUGGUUCGAAUCCAGCUAGCCCAG